UACGAAGGGGUCUAGCGUUGUUCGGAAUCACUGGGCGUAAAGCGCACGUAGGCGGAUCUUUAAGUCAGAGGUGAAAUCCCAAGGCUCAACCUUGGAACUGCCUUUGAUACUGGGGAUCUUGAGUCCGGGAGAGGUAAGUGGAACUGCGAGUGUAGAGGUGAAAUUCGUAGAUAUUCGCAAGAACACCAGUGGCGAAGGCGGCUUACUGGUCCGGUUCUGACGCUGAGGCGCGAAAGCGUGGGGAGCAAACAGG
RNAcentral lists this ribosomal RNA (253 nucleotides) under uncultured bacterium. Its description in RNAcentral is "partial 16S ribosomal RNA". It matches the Rfam family "Bacterial small subunit ribosomal RNA", at positions 524 to 776 of the family's 1533-position model. The record is from RNAcentral.